This 467-nucleotide ribosomal RNA is filed under the name uncultured bacterium. RNAcentral describes it as "partial 16S ribosomal RNA". It matches the Rfam family "Bacterial small subunit ribosomal RNA", at positions 28 to 507 of the family's 1533-position model. The record is from RNAcentral.
GACGAACGCUGGCGGCGUGCUUAACACAUGCAAGUCGAACGGAAAGGCUCCAGCUUGCUGGAGUACUCGAGUGGCGAACGGGUGAGUAACACGUGGGUAAUCUGCCCUGCACUCCGGGAUAAGCCUGGGAAACUGGGUCUAAUACUGGAUAUGACCUUUCUCCUUAUGGGGUUUGGUGGAAAGUUUUUCGGUGUAGGAUGAGCCCGCGGCCUAUCAGCUUGUUGGUGGGGUGAUGGCCUACCAAGGCGACGACGGGUAGCCGGCCUGAGAGGGUGAUCGGCCACAUUGGGACUGAGAUACGGCCCAGACUCCUACGGGAGGCAGCAGUGGGGAAUAUUGCACAAUGGGCGGAAGCCUGAUGCAGCGACGCCGCGUGAGGGAUGACGGCCUUCGGGUUGUAAACCUCUUUCAGCAGGGACGAAGCGUAAGUGACGGUACCUGCAGAAGAAGCACCGGCUAACUAUGUG